UGCCCAGUGACAUAGUUAAACGGCCGCGGUACUCUGACCGUGCUAAGGUAGCAUAAUCAUUUGCCUCUUAAUUGGUGGCUAGUAUGAAUGGACACACGCAAGCGCUGCUGUCUCAUUAAUAUAAAUAAAAAUUAACCUUCAAGUGAAGAGACUUGAAUAAAAUAAAAAGACAAAAAGACCCUAUGGAGCUUUAUUCAACCGCCCUGCAAUCUAAUAUUUAUAAAAUUUUCUACAGCGCUAAUGAAUUCAGUUGGGGCGACUAAGGAAAACAAUAAAUCUUCCUUCACAUAAAGAAAAUAAUUCUCUCAAAGAUCCGCUAUGCGAAUACAGAUCCAGCUACCCUAGGGAUAACAGGCUAAUUCUUCUCGAGAGCCCAAAUUGACAGAAGAGAUUG
Molecule: ribosomal RNA, 394 nt
Filed under: Laonice sp. B RG-2014
Lineage: Eukaryota; Metazoa; Annelida; Polychaeta; Spionida; Spionidae
Description: partial 16S ribosomal RNA
Rfam family: Bacterial large subunit ribosomal RNA
Source: RNAcentral